Non-coding RNA from Xyrichtys novacula (pearly razorfish), 386 nucleotides. The record is from the annotation of a GenBank genome assembly. NCBI's taxonomy places the organism in Eukaryota, Metazoa, Chordata, Actinopteri, Labriformes, Labridae.
AUGUUCGAGCUCCUGCGGUUCAUUGAGGUGGCAACAAACAUUUCUAAAAAAAUAAAGAGAGGCGAGAUUCAUCUGCUUGAUUUCGUUUUUGACGUCAUGCUCCCAGAGGUGAGUAGAUCAAACUAUAUAGCUUGCUUUGAAAAUUGAUGAUAUUGUUAAGAGGUUGUUCUUAUUCAUUUGGAAAGCUCAAGAACAACAAUUAACCCAUACUGCAUAACUUCAAUUGUUCACAUUAUUUGACUGUUUUUCAGCUUUUGAUCAAAGCACUGAAGGAGCAUGGCAUCACCCGGUUCAGAGCAGAGCUGAUGAUGGCCUGUGGCAACGUGUUUUAAGCCCCCCACCACACCGACGGCAGUGCUGAAUUUUGUAUAUAUAUAUAUUCUUUU